AAGCUAUGUUCUUUAAAUUUAAAGGAUUUGGCGGUUGUUUAGUCUAGUUAGAGGAACCUGCUUAUUAAACGAUAAACCUCGCAAUAUCUUACCUACUUUAUUAUAGUUUGUAUACCGUCAUUAUCAGAUUACUUUCAAAGAAAAAGUGAUUAUUGUAUGUUUAUACAUUAAAUAUUAGAUCAAGGUGCAGCUUAUAAGUAGGUUUAAGUGGGUUACAAUGAAUUUUAUUUAUUACGGAGAAUAAAUUUAAAUAUUUAUUUGAAGGAGGAUUUAAUUGUAAAUUUAAUUUAAUAAGAUAAAUUGAUAUUAGCUCUAAAUUAUGUACAAAUCGCCCGUCACUCUCUG
Molecule: ribosomal RNA, 345 nt
Filed under: Boasaxius princeps
Lineage: Eukaryota; Metazoa; Arthropoda; Malacostraca; Decapoda; Axiidae
Description: mitochondrial SSU rRNA
Source: RNAcentral